This 400-nucleotide unclassified non-coding RNA is filed under the name uncultured fungus. Its description in RNAcentral is "sequence contains ITS1". The stretch from base 1 to 105 matches the Rfam family "5.8S ribosomal RNA", at positions 50 to 154 of the family's 154-position model. The record is from RNAcentral. Lineage: Eukaryota; Fungi.
GAAAUGCGAUACGUAAUGUGAAUUGCAGAAUUCAGUGAAUCAUCGAAUCUUUGAACGCAUAUUGCGCUCUUUGGUAUUCCGAAGAGCAUGCUUGUUUGAGUAUCAGUAAACACCUCAAAGCUUUUGGAUUUUUUAAUCGAAAAGCUUUGGACUUGAGUGAUCCCAACUAUUUUUUUUUGGAAAAAAGGAAAUCAGGCGGGCCACUUGAAAUGCAGGUGCAGCUGAACAUUCUUCUGAGUUAUAAGCAUAUUUAUUUAGUCCUGUCAAAAGGAUUAUUAUUACUUUUGCUUCAGCUAAUAUAAAGGUCGAAUGUCCUAUAACACUGACUGAUGCAGGAUUUAUCAAGACUUUUUUUGUCUUGUAAACUCGAUCUCAAAUCAAGUAGGACUACCCGCUGAAC